GACGAACGCUGGCGGCGUGCUUAACACAUGCAAGUCGAGCGGUAAGGCCCUUUCGGGGUACGACGAGCGGCGAACGGGUGAGUAACACGUGGGUGACCUGCCCUUAGCUCUGGGAUAAGCCUGGGAAACUGGGUCGUAAUACCGGAUAUGACUCCAUGACGCAUGUUGUGGGGUGGAAAGCCUUGUGCGGCUAGGGAUGGGCCCGCGGCCUAUCAGCUUGUUGGUGGGGUGAGGCCUACCAAGGCGACGACGGGUAGCCGGCCUGAGAGGGCGACCGGCCACACUGGGACUGAGACACGGCCCAGACUCCUACGGGAGGCAGCAGUGGGGAAUCUUGCGCAAUGGGCGAAAGCCUGACGCAGCGACGCCGCGUGAGGGAUGACGGCCUUC
RNAcentral lists this ribosomal RNA (390 nucleotides) under uncultured bacterium. RNAcentral describes it as "bacterial SSU rRNA". It matches the Rfam family "Bacterial small subunit ribosomal RNA", at positions 28 to 419 of the family's 1533-position model. The record is from RNAcentral.